GAUGAACGCUGGCGGCGUGCUUAACACAUGCAAGUCGAACGAUGAAGCCCAGAUUGCUGGGUGGAUUAGUGGCGAACGGGUGAGUAACAAGUGAGUACACUGCCCUUAUAUCUGGGAUAAGCCUGGGAAACUGGGUCUAAUACCGGCUAGGAGCGUCCACCGCAUGGAGGGUGUUGGAAAGAUUUAUCGGUUUUGGAUGGACUCGCGGCUUAUCGGCUUGUAAGUGAGGUAAUGGCUAACCAAAGCGACGACAGGUAGCCGACCUUGGAGGGGGACCGGCCACACUGGGACUGAGACACGUCCCAGACUCGUACGCUGGGCAGCAGUGGUGAGUAUUGCAGAAUGGGCCCAAGCCUGAUGCAGCGACGCCGCGUUAGUGAUGACGGCCUACGGGUUGUAAACCUCUUUCAGUAUGGAAGAAGCGAAAGUGACGGUACCUGCUGAAGAAGCACCGGCUAACUACGUG
RNAcentral lists this ribosomal RNA (466 nucleotides) under uncultured bacterium. Its description in RNAcentral is "partial 16S ribosomal RNA". It matches the Rfam family "Bacterial small subunit ribosomal RNA", at positions 28 to 507 of the family's 1533-position model. The record is from RNAcentral.